Molecule: long non-coding RNA, 352 nt
Filed under: Brassica napus (rape)
Lineage: Eukaryota; Viridiplantae; Streptophyta; Magnoliopsida; Brassicales; Brassicaceae
Description: long non-coding RNA (BNAP_LNC024767)
Source: RNAcentral
AAUGAUAACGAUGGUCUCUUUUGUUUAUAUAGGGGAUGAAGCCAUUUUGAGUGUUGUUUAGAGGAGGCAAAAAAAAAAGAAUAUAAUUUUUAGAUAUGGUGACUCUGAUACCAUAUAGGUUUAAUGAUUUGAUUCAUUAGAUAGAGACUUGUAUGACUAGGAUAUUGAGAAACUUGUAUGACUAGGAUAUUGAGAAACUCGGGAGAUGUCAACUAGGUGGACGAUCAACUACGCACAACCUUAUAUAUAGACUAGGAUAUUGAGAAACUCUAAUUACAAUUAAACCUUUAAGUAUAGCAUAUAUUUCCUUGUAUGUCUAUAUUAACCAAAAAAAAAAACACUUUUGGAUAGG